RNAcentral lists this ribosomal RNA (2898 nucleotides) under Escherichia coli. RNAcentral's name for it is "23S ribosomal RNA". It matches the Rfam family "Bacterial large subunit ribosomal RNA". The record is from RNAcentral. Lineage: Bacteria; Pseudomonadati; Pseudomonadota; Gammaproteobacteria; Enterobacterales; Enterobacteriaceae.
UUAAGCGACUAAGCGUACACGGUGGAUGCCCUGGCAGUCAGAGGCGAUGAAGGACGUGCUAAUCUGCGAUAAGCGUCGGUAAGGUGAUAUGAACCGUUAUAACCGGCGAUUUCCGAAUGGGGAAACCCAGUGUGAUUCGUCACACUAUCAUUAACUGAAUCCAUAGGUUAAUGAGGCGAACCGGGGGAACUGAAACAUCUAAGUACCCCGAGGAAAAGAAAUCAACCGAGAUUCCCCCCAGUAGCGGCGAGCGAACGGGGAGGAGCCCAGAGCCUGAAUCAGUGUGUGUGUUAGUGGAAGCGUCUGGAAAGGCGCGCGAUACAGGGUGACAGCCCCGUACACAAAAAUGCACAUACUGUGAGCUCGAUGAGUAGGGCGGGACACGUGGUAUCCUGUCUGAAUAUGGGGGGACCAUCCUCCAAGGCUAAAUACUCCUGACUGACCGAUAGUGAACCAGUACCGUGAGGGAAAGGCGAAAAGAACCCCGGCGAGGGGAGUGAAAAGAACCUGAAACCGUGUACGUACAAGCAGUGGGAGCCUCUUUAUGGGGUGACUGCGUACCUUUGUAUAAUGGGUCAGCGACUUAUAUUCUGUAGCAAGGUUAACCGAAUAGGGGAGCCGAAGGGAAACCGAGUCUUAACUGGGCGUUAAGUUGCAGGGUAUAGACCCGAAACCCGGUGAUUCAGCCAUGGGCAGGUUGAAGGUUGGGUAACACUAACUGGAGGACCGAACCGACUAAUGUUGAAAAAUUAGCGGAUGACUUGUGGCUGGGGUGAAAGGCCAAUCAAACCGGGAGAUAGCUGGUUCUCCCCGAAAGCUAUUUAGGUAGCGCCUCGUGAAUUCAUCUCCGGGGGUAGAGCACUGUUUCGGCAAGGGGGUCAUCCCGACUUACCAACCCGAUGCAAACUGCGAAUACCGGAGAAUGUUAUCACGGGAGACACACGGCGGGUGCUAACGUCCGUCGUGAAGAGGGAAACAACCCAGACCGCCAGCUAAGGUCCCAAAGUCAUGGUUAAGUGGGAAACGAUGUGGGAAGGCCCAGACAGCCGAUGUUGGCUUAGAAGCAGCCAUCAUUUAAAGAAAGCGUAAUAGCUCACUGGUCGAGUCGGCCUGCGCGGAAGAUGUAACGGGGGCUAAACCAUGCACCGAAGCUGCGGCAGCGACACUAUGUGUUGUUGGGUAGGGGAGCGUUCUGUAAGCCUGUGAAGGUGUACUGUGAGGUAUGCUGGAGGUAUCAGAAGUGCGAAUGCUGACAUAAGUAACGAUAAAGCGGGUGAAAAGCCCGCUCGCCGGAAGACCAAGGGUUCCUGUCCAACGUUAAUCGGGGCAGGGUGAGUCGACCCCUAAGGCGAGGCCGAAAGGCGUAGUCGAUGGGAAACAGGUUAAUAUUCCUGUACUUGGUGUUACUGCGAAGGGGGGACGGAGAAGGCUAUGUUGGCCGGGCGACGGUUGUCCCGGUUUAAGCGUGUAGGCUGAUUUUCCAGGCAAAUCCGGAAAAUCAAGGCUGAGGCGUGAUGACGAGGCACUACGGUGCUGAAGCAACAAAUGCCCUGCUUCCAGGAAAAGCCUCUAAGCAUCAGGUAACAUCAAAUCGUACCCCAAACCGACACAGGUGGUCAGGUAGAGAAUACCAAGGCGCUUGAGAGAACUCGGGUGAAGGAACUAGGCAAAAUGGUGCCGUAACUUCGGGAGAAGGCACGCUGAUAUGUAGGUGAAGCGACUUGCUCGUGGAGCUGAAAUCAGUCGAAGAUACCAGCUGGCUGCAACUGUUUAUUAAAAACACAGCACUGUGCAAACACGAAAGUGGACGUAUACGGUGUGACGCCUGCCCGGUGCCGGAAGGUUAAUUGAUGGGGUUAGCGGUAACGCGAAGCUCUUGAUCGAAGCCCCGGUAAACGGCGGCCGUAACUAUAACGGUCCUAAGGUAGCGAAAUUCCUUGUCGGGUAAGUUCCGACCUGCACGAAUGGCGUAAUGAUGGCCAGGCUGUCUCCACCCGAGACUCAGUGAAAUUGAACUCGCUGUGAAGAUGCAGUGUACCCGCGGCAAGACGGAAAGACCCCGUGAACCUUUACUAUAGCUUGACACUGAACAUUGAGCCUUGAUGUGUAGGAUAGGUGGGAGGCUUUGAAGUGUGGACGCCAGUCUGCAUGGAGCCGACCUUGAAAUACCACCCUUUAAUGUUUGAUGUUCUAACGUUGACCCGUGAUCCGGGUUGCGGACAGUGUCUGGUGGGUAGUUUGACUGGGGCGGUCUCCUCCUAAAGAGUAACGGAGGAGCACGAAGGUUGGCUAAUCCUGGUCGGACAUCAGGAGGUUAGUGCAAUGGCAUAAGCCAGCUUGACUGCGAGCGUGACGGCGCGAGCAGGUGCGAAAGCAGGUCAUAGUGAUCCGGUGGUUCUGAAUGGAAGGGCCAUCGCUCAACGGAUAAAAGGUACUCCGGGGAUAACAGGCUGAUACCGCCCAAGAGUUCAUAUCGACGGCGGUGUUUGGCACCUCGAUGUCGGCUCAUCACAUCCUGGGGCUGAAGUAGGUCCCAAGGGUAUGGCUGUUCGCCAUUUAAAGUGGUACGCGAGCUGGGUUUAGAACGUCGUGAGACAGUUCGGUCCCUAUCUGCCGUGGGCGCUGGAGAACUGAGGGGGGCUGCUCCUAGUACGAGAGGACCGGAGUGGACGCAUCACUGGUGUUCGGGUUGUCAUGCCAAUGGCACUGCCCGGUAGCUAAAUGCGGAAGAGAUAAGUGCUGAAAGCAUCUAAGCACGAAACUUGCCCCGAGAUGAGUUCUCCCUGACUCCUUGAGAGUCCUGAAGGAACGUUGAAGACGACGACGUUGAUAGGCCGGGUGUGUAAGCGCAGCGAUGCGUUGAGCUAACCGGUACUAAUGAACCGUGAGGCUUAACCU